RNAcentral lists this transfer RNA (73 nucleotides) under Felis catus (domestic cat). It matches the Rfam family "tRNA". From Rfam's summary of the family: Transfer RNA (tRNA) molecules are approximately 80 nucleotides in length. Their secondary structure includes four short double-helical elements and three loops (D, anti-codon, and T loops). Further hydrogen bonds mediate the characteristic L-shaped molecular structure. tRNAs have two regions of fundamental functional importance: the anti-codon, which is responsible for specific mRNA codon recognition, and the 3' end, to which the tRNAs corresponding amino acid is attached (by aminoacyl-tRNA synthetases). tRNAs cope with the degeneracy of the genetic code in two manners: having more than one tRNA (with a specific anti-codon) for a particular amino acid; and 'wobble' base-pairing, i.e. permitting non-standard base-pairing at the 3rd anti-codon position. The record is from Rfam by way of RNAcentral. RNAcentral also lists the same sequence under 1 other name. Lineage: Eukaryota; Metazoa; Chordata; Mammalia; Carnivora; Felidae.
GCCUGCCUGGCUCAGUGGGUAGAGCGUGCGACUCUUGAUCUCAGGGUUGUGAGCUCAAGCCCCAUGCUGGGCA